GGGGCAGCAUGGUCUUAGCUUGCUAAGGCUGAUGGCGACCGGCGCACGGGUGAGUAACACGUAUCCAACCUGCCGUCUACUCUUGGCCAGCCUUCUGAAAGGAAGAUUAAUCCAGGAUGGGAUCAUGAGUUCACAUGUCCGCAUGAUUAAAGGUAUUUUCCGGUAGACGAUGGGGAUGCGUUCCAUUAGAUAGUAGGCGGGGUAACGGCCCACCUAGUCAACGAUGGAUAGGGGUUCUGAGAGGAAGGUCCCCCACAUUGGAACUGAGACACGGUCCAAACUCCUACGGGAGGCAGCAGUGAGGAAUAUUGGUCAAUGGGCGAUGGCCUGAACCAGCCAAGUAGCGUGAAGGAUGACUGCCCUAUGGGUUGUAAACUUCUUUUAUAAAGGAAUAAGGUCGGGUAUGCAUACCCGUUUGCAUGUACUUUAUGAAUAAGGAUCGGCUAACUCCGUGCCAGCAGCCGCGGUAAUACGGAGGAUCCGAGCGUUAUCCGGAUUUAUUGGGUUUAAAGGGAGCGUAGAUGGAUGUUUAAGUCAGUUGUGAAAGUUUGCGGCUCAACCGUAAAAUUGCAGUUGAUACUGGAUGUCUUGAGUGCAGUUGAGGCAGGCGGAAUUCGUGGUGUAGCGGUGAAAUGCUUAGAUAUCACGAAGAACCCCGAUUGCGAAGGCAGCCUGCUAAGCUG
Molecule: ribosomal RNA, 683 nt
Filed under: uncultured Bacteroidales bacterium
Lineage: Bacteria; Pseudomonadati; Bacteroidota; Bacteroidia; Bacteroidales
Description: bacterial SSU rRNA
Rfam family: Bacterial small subunit ribosomal RNA
Source: RNAcentral